This 1295-nucleotide long non-coding RNA is filed under the name Mus musculus (house mouse). RNAcentral describes it as "RIKEN cDNA 9530020I12 gene, transcript variant 2 (9530020I12Rik)". The record is from RNAcentral. Lineage: Eukaryota; Metazoa; Chordata; Mammalia; Rodentia; Muridae.
AUUUUUGGUGAUUGGAGAAAGAAAGGGCUGCGGGACUGUGGAAACAUUCUCCACGUGUCUGGCUAUGGGCCGUAUUUCCGUGCUGACUCCUUCAUAUGAUUCCCGUAACAGGCCUCGAGGCAGAUACCGAGUUUCCUACUCUGAUAGCAUGGAAUCUGAGGUUUAGGAUGGCUAAAGUGAUGCAGAGCCCCAUGGCUAGAAUUUCCUUCACUGGUGCUUAGAGUAUUAAUCAAAAAAUGAAAUCUUCACUUGUGUCCAGUAAAGUGUUCCAUCCUGAGAUCUUCUGCUCUGUUUGGACUUCUGCCACUGGAGCUGAACAGCAGAGAAGCCAGGCUGGGUCAAAGCUCCUGGAGGCAGAAGCCUUAACCCUACUUCUGGAAGCCUCUGUUCACUGCUUGGCUCGCGCGGCUCGUGCGCCCCCUCCCGAGCAGCACCAGAACUGCAGAGCCCAGCCCCCGAGAAAGAGUGAGCUGCCAGGGUGGUCUGAAUGGGAGGCAAAGCUCAAGGAACCUUCUCAGGAGUUGAUUCUCCAGGACUAUGGAAAGCAAAGAGCAGAUCGUGAAAUGAUGCGGAGGGCGCCGCCUGCAUGAUCCUCGAGUUCCUGACGUUCCUGGGCUCAGUUGACAUGUCGGUGGGAAGGAAGGGCGGGUUGCAUCCUGCCUGUCAAAGGGAUAACUUCUUAGCUGCCCUGCUGCUGGACCCUGACCUCGAUCUAUGGGCUUCUUCAUGACUACUUGGAUGGAUGCAGAGGUCCACCUCUGGAGCUCCACCAACUUCAUCUUAGAGAUUGAGCCUUAGUGAAGAGACACUGCCAGGGGUCACUAAAGCUUCACUGAAAGGGUCCCUGUGCUACAGAGUUGCAGGGUGGAUCUAUCACUCAUCUGUUUGCAGUUGAAGAAGACCCUGGCCAUCAGGAGGAGAAUUCAGCCUCAAGACUCCCUCCUGUCUCCCACUGAUGGGCCCCUUACCCAUGCCCCAGGGACACCACAAAGUCAUAGCCCUGUGACUAUUUUCAUGGAGCUUCAGGAAGUCCCACAAUUGGGACUUCUAGUCACAAGAGAAAGAGUAGAUGAGAUGCCAUAUUUAUUUAUUUAUUUAUUUAUUUAUUUUAUUAGAUAUUUUCUUUAUUUCCAUUUCAAAUGUUAUCCCCUUUCCUAGUUUUCUCUCUGAAAACCCCGUAUCCCUUUCUCCUACCCCAUGCUCACUAACUCACCUACUCCUGCUUCCUGGCCCUGGCAUUCCCCCACACUGGGGCAUAGAACCUUCACAGGACCAAGGACCUCUCCUCCCAUUGA